RNAcentral lists this ribosomal RNA (445 nucleotides) under uncultured bacterium. RNAcentral's name for it is "SSU rRNA". It matches the Rfam family "Bacterial small subunit ribosomal RNA", at positions 26 to 518 of the family's 1533-position model. The record is from RNAcentral.
AGAGCGAACGCUGGCGGCAGGCCUAACACAUGCAAGUCGAGCGCGUGUAGCAAUACACGAGCGGCAGACGGGAGAGUAACACGUGGGAACGCGCCCUUCGGUUCGGAAUAACUCAGGGAAACUUGAGCUAAUACCGGAUACGCCCUUACGGGGAAAGAUUUAUUGCCGAAGGAACGGCCCGCGUCCGAUUAGCUAGUUGGUGAGGUAACGGCUCACCAAGGCGACGAUCGGUAGCUGGUCUGAGAGGAUGACCAGCCUCACUGGGACUGAGACACGGCCCAGACUCCUACGGGAGGCAGCAGUGGGGAAUAUUGGACAAUGGGCGCAAGCCUGAUCCAGCCAUGCCGCGUGGAUGAUGAAGGCCUUAGGGUUGUAAAGUCCUUUAACGGGGAAGAUAAUGACGGUACCGUAGAAUAAGCCCGGCUAACUUCGCGCCAGCAGCCGC